UACAGAGGGUGCAAGCGUUAAUCGGAGUUACUGGGCGUAAAGGGCGCGUAGGCGGUUGUUUGGGUGUGAUGUGAAAGCCUUGGGCUUAACCUGAGAAGUGCAUCGCAAACUAAAUGACUGGAGUAUAUGAGAGGGUGGCGGAAUUUCCGGUGUAGCGGUGAAAUGCGUAGAGAUCGGAAGGAACGUCAAUGGCGAAGGCAGCCACCUGGCAUAAUACUGACGCUGAGGCGCGAGAGCGUGGGGAGCGAACAGG
Molecule: ribosomal RNA, 253 nt
Filed under: uncultured bacterium
Lineage: Bacteria
Description: partial 16S ribosomal RNA
Rfam family: Bacterial small subunit ribosomal RNA
Source: RNAcentral